RNAcentral lists this ribosomal RNA (462 nucleotides) under Triticum aestivum (bread wheat). Its description in RNAcentral is "partial small subunit ribosomal RNA". Lineage: Eukaryota; Viridiplantae; Streptophyta; Magnoliopsida; Poales; Poaceae. The record is from RNAcentral.
AUGGUCUCAUCACGGGAACUACCGUCAUCGUCAAACCCUGAUAGUCCAGCGUUUGUCCCCACUGGCAUGCUCAACUCAGACAGUGCUGAUGUUGUUUUAUAUUCUCUACGUCAGAAGUACCGAGACACUGACAAGUUGAUAGUUCCCAGAUGGGUGACGACCAAGAUCCGUGAUGGAAAUAUUGAUUCCAACGUGCUAAAUUGGUUCACGAGAUCAGAGAGCCCUACUACACCCAAGAAUCCCAUUGUGGAAUUGAUAGACAUCGAUGAUGAUGUGUUUGACAAGAUUGCUGGCGUUGGAAGAGUCACGAGGAGUGCUGCUGCCAAAGCUUUAUCUCCCCUUGCUGUAAUAGUGGAUCGUAGAGCUGGUGGUGCUAGGAAAGAUCCUACUUUGGAUUCUGGCAAUGUUGUAAGCACAAAGCGUGCUCCUAGAGCUCCUAUAAAGUUUUGCUCCCCUAUGUAG